UGAAAAGGACCCGGUGUAACAAUAAAGCCGAAUUCUAUUGACACCCAGUUUCUCAUCGCAACGCAUAAAAUUUUAUUUUAUUUAUCAUCUUUUUUAAUUUAUUUAACAUUUUCUUAUAAUAAUUUGUACUUGCAUAGCAGCUGAGUCCUCUAUUAAAAACAUUUAUCCUUUUUUCCAUACUUCCAUCUAUCUAUAAACCAAAAAAGACUAAAUUAUAAAUUUAUAUAUACCCAACGAUCUUCUUGAUUUUAGCAAAGCCAAUAUCCAUCCACUUCAAUGGCCUAUGCACCAGACUUUAUUCUAAAGGGUUACCUCGGGUCCGGGCAUUUGUUUGGCAGAUGGAACAUAUGCACUGGAUGUACAAAAUUAAAUGGCACACUCUCAAUAUAUGUCGUCUUUGGAAGAUUUUCUUAGAUUUGCCAAAGAUAAUCGAGUGAAUAAGGUCGAAAGUUAUAUUAGGUGUCCUUGUGUAGAUUGCAACAAGGACACCUAACAAAGUUAUAUGGAAAGUAGGAUCGGAGGAGAAAGUUUUUGCCUGAUCGAUUGUUUGGGAGUGUGUUCGUAGUCGGGAAGCAAAGGUACCAUGGGUGGAUGUUAUUUGGUUUUCUCAUUGUAUUCCUCGACAUGCUUUUCACAUGUGGCUCGUAGUGCAAGGUAAACUUCUUACUCAAGACAGAAUUCUUACAUGGAGUCCGUCGAGAUGUAAGGAUAUGAACAUGAUGUGUUGUCCUCUAUGCAAGGCUGAUUUUGAUUCCCGUCACCAUCAGUUCUUUGAGUGUAUGUAUACAUCUCAUAUCUGGUCUUGUAUUAGAGAUAUUGCUGGUAUGCAGGUUAUCCCACCUCAUUUGGAGGCGAUUUUGGAUUGGCUCAUUCCACGUGCUCAUUCAAGAUCAGUCUCAAAUGUAGUAGGGCUACAUACUACAUAUGGCAAAAACGUAACAGAAGACUUUUUCAGAACCAUUCGCGCCCUCCUGAUGUAGUUCACGAUAUCAUUAUUUCAACGAUCUGAUCAAGACUUAUGCGGUUUAAAUUCAAGAGAUCUGCUGAAGUGGUGGCUAAAUUGGCGUUAUGGAAUAUCCUUGGAGAAAGCUUGUUUCAAGAUGGCUAGUUAUUCUUGAGUAUUAAAUUACUUUGUCUACUGUUUUCUAUUUUACGUUGAUAGUUGGCUAGAUUACUAGUUAUUGAGGUAAUAUUGUAUUACAUAUAUAGGACAUAUCCUAUAUAUGAACUAGUGUAGUAUCUCUGCUACAUUACUUUUACUUUAAUUGUUGGGUAUUUAUAAAAGUCACCGGGGAAUUACCUUCC
Long non-coding RNA from Erigeron canadensis, 1305 nucleotides. RefSeq lists it as uncharacterized. The record is from RefSeq and is a predicted model, not a curated record. The transcript has 3 exons. Lineage: Eukaryota; Viridiplantae; Streptophyta; Magnoliopsida; Asterales; Asteraceae.